UUGCUCAAUGGGAGAAAUCCUGAAGCAGCAACGCCGCGUGGAGGAUGAAGGGUCUAUGACUUGUAAACUCCUGUAAAGAAGGAAAAAAUUCCCAUUUGAUGGGAGAUGAUGGUACUUCUGGAGUAAGCCCCGGCUAACUACGUGCCAGCAGCCGCGGUAAUACGUAGGGGGCAAGCGUUGUCCGGAUUUACUGGGUGUAAAGGGUGCUCAGGCGGAUUUGGAAGUCAGAGGUGAAAUCUUACAGCUUAACUGUGAAACUGCCUUUGAUACUGGAAGCAUGGAGUAGGGAAGAGAGUGAUGGAAUAUCUGGUGUAGCAGUGAAAUGCGUAGAUAUCAGAUAGAACACCAAUGGCGAAGGCAGUCACUUAGUCCAUUACUGACGCUAAAGCACGAAAGCGUGGGUAGCAAACA
This 411-nucleotide ribosomal RNA is filed under the name uncultured bacterium. Its description in RNAcentral is "bacterial SSU rRNA". It matches the Rfam family "Bacterial small subunit ribosomal RNA", at positions 364 to 774 of the family's 1533-position model. The record is from RNAcentral.